This 459-nucleotide ribosomal RNA is filed under the name uncultured bacterium. RNAcentral describes it as "partial 16S ribosomal RNA". It matches the Rfam family "Bacterial small subunit ribosomal RNA", at positions 338 to 795 of the family's 1533-position model. The record is from RNAcentral.
CCUACGGGAGGCAGCAGUGAGGAAUAUUGGUCAAUGGGCGCGAGCCUGAACCAGCCAAGUCGCGUGAGGGAAGACGGUCCUAUGGAUUGUAAACCUCUUUCGUCGGGGAGCAAAAGACGCCACGCGUGGCGUUCCGAGAGUACCCGAAGAAAAAGCAUCGGCUAACUCCGUGCCAGCAGCCGCGGUAAUACGGAGGAUGCGAGCGUUAUCCGGAUUUAUUGGGUUUAAAGGGUGGGCAGCCGGAAGAGCAAGUCAGCGGUAAAAUUGAGAGGCUCAACCUCUUCGAGCCGUUGAAACUGGUUUUCGUGAGUGAGUGAGAAGUAUGCGGAAUGCGUGGUGUAGCGGUGAAAUGCAUAGAUAUCACGCAGAACUCCGAUUGCGAAGGCAGCAUACCGGCGCUCAACUGACGCUCAUGCACGAAAGUGUGGGUAUCGAACAGGAUGAGAUACCCCUGUAGUC